AUGACUGCAACUGGAGGCUACGGGGAAGAGUCCAUUUCUCAAUAUCCGCCUGAACUCACUGUUGUUGAAGGACAGGCCGUAAUACUUAAUUGCAAUUACCCCAAAUCUUACGAUAAUCAGGCCGCUUUCUGGUACAUUCAGAACGGUGGACAAACGCCGAAAUAUCUACUGAAAAAAUUUAAUGCCGACUUCGGAGAUCAGGCUCGUGAUUUGCCAGAGAGGAUUUCUGCUGCUUACCACAAAGGGAAUCGCUCGAUACCUUUAAGUAUCUCCGGCGUCCUUGUCUCCGAUUCCGCCGUGUAUCUCUGCGCCAUGAGGCCCACGCUGCGGCAUAGAAGCGGCUGA
Non-coding RNA from Amblyraja radiata (thorny skate), 345 nucleotides. The record is from the annotation of a RefSeq genome assembly. NCBI's taxonomy places the organism in Eukaryota, Metazoa, Chordata, Chondrichthyes, Rajiformes, Rajidae.